This is a long non-coding RNA of Solanum tuberosum (potato), 152 nucleotides long. RefSeq lists it as uncharacterized. The record is from RefSeq and is a predicted model, not a curated record. The transcript has 2 exons. NCBI's taxonomy places the organism in Eukaryota, Viridiplantae, Streptophyta, Magnoliopsida, Solanales, Solanaceae.
UUUAAAGCCAAAACCAGUAGCCAUUUUCCCCUAACUUGAAAAAUACCCAUUUCUCCAUUUUUAGACUUUGAGAGCUCGAAAAUAGGUGAUUUCAAGUGGGUUUUCGCAAGGAAUUCAUUGGAUUGUGGUGAUUUGGAGCGUGCUCGGAAGGG